RNAcentral lists this ribosomal RNA (467 nucleotides) under uncultured bacterium. Its description in RNAcentral is "partial 16S ribosomal RNA". It matches the Rfam family "Bacterial small subunit ribosomal RNA", at positions 28 to 507 of the family's 1533-position model. The record is from RNAcentral.
GACGAACGCUGGCGGCGUGCUUAACACAUGCAAGUCGAACGGAAAGGCCCUGCUUUUGUGGGGUGCUCGAGUGGCGAACGGGUGAGUAACACGUGAGUAACCUGCCCUUGACUUUGGGAUAACUUCAGGAAACUGGGGCUAAUACCGGAUAGGAGCUCCUGCUGCAUGGUGGGGGUUGGAACGUUUCGGCGGUUGGGGAUGGACUCGCGGCUUAUCAGCUUGUUGGUGGGGUAGUGGCUUACCAAGGCUUUGACGGGUAGCCGGCCUGAGAGGUGAACGGCCACAUUGGGACUGAGAGACGCCCCAGACUCCUACGGGAGGCAGCAGUGGGGAAUAUUGCACAAUGGGCGGAAGCCUGAUGCAGCAACGCCGCGGGCGUGAUGACGGCCUUCGGGUUGUAAACCGCUUUCGCCUGUGACGAAGCGUGAGUGACGGUAAUGGGUAAAGAAGCACCGGCUAACUACGUG